AACGCGAAGAACCUUACCUGGGUUUGACAUGCACAGGACGCUGGUAGAGAUAUCAGUUCCCUUGUGGCCUGUGUGCAGGUGGUGCAUGGCUGUCGUCAGCUCGUGUCGUGAGAUGUUGGGUUAAGUCCCGCAACGAGCGCAACCCUUGUCUCAUGUUGCCAGCACGUUAUGGUGGGGACUCGUGAGAGACUGCCGGGGUCAACUCGGAGGAAGGUGGGGAUGACGUCAAGUCAUCAUGCCCCUUAUGUCCAGGGCUUCACACAUGCUACAAUGGCCGGUACAAAGGGCUGCGAUGCCGUGAGGUGGAGCGAAUCCUUUCAAAGCCGGUCUCAGUUCGGAUCGGGGUCUGCAACUCGACCCCGUGAAGUCGGAGUCGCUAGUAAUCGCAGAUCAGCAACGCUGCGGUGAAUACGUUCCCGGGCCUUGUA
This 428-nucleotide ribosomal RNA is filed under the name uncultured Actinomycetes bacterium. RNAcentral's name for it is "bacterial SSU rRNA". It matches the Rfam family "Bacterial small subunit ribosomal RNA", at positions 958 to 1385 of the family's 1533-position model. Lineage: Bacteria; Bacillati; Actinomycetota; Actinomycetes. The record is from RNAcentral.